This 252-nucleotide ribosomal RNA is filed under the name uncultured bacterium. Its description in RNAcentral is "partial 16S ribosomal RNA". It matches the Rfam family "Bacterial small subunit ribosomal RNA", at positions 524 to 776 of the family's 1533-position model. The record is from RNAcentral.
UACGUAGGGCGCAAGCGUUGUCCGGAAUUAUUGGCGUAAAGAGCUCGUAGGUGGCUUGUCACGUCGGGUGUGAAAGCUUGGGGCUUAACUCCAGGUCUGCAUUCGAUACGGGCUGGCUAGAGGUAGGUAGGGGAGAACGGAAUUCCUGGUGUAGCGGUGAAAUGCGCAGAUAUCAGGAGGAACACCGGUGGCGAAGGCGGUUCUCUGGGCCUUACCUGACGCUGAGGAGCGAAAGCGUGGGGAGCGAACAGG